RNAcentral lists this unclassified non-coding RNA (351 nucleotides) under Hevea brasiliensis (rubber tree). Lineage: Eukaryota; Viridiplantae; Streptophyta; Magnoliopsida; Malpighiales; Euphorbiaceae. The record is from RNAcentral.
CAAUUCAAUUCAUCUUUCUCAUUUUCUUCAAUAAUGGAUACUCUCUUCUCUCUCUCUCUGCCGCCUUUCUUACUCUCCUGCCGCCUUUCUUACUCUCCUCUCGCUUUCUUCUCUCUUAGGUAUUUCAAUUACUCAUCACUCACUCAACUACGCAUUAUAAAUACCAUCCAAUUUCUUUCAAAUUGAUUAUUUCUCUUCUUCUUCUUCAUUUCUAUUAUAGUUUUCUUCUCUCUCAGGUAUUUCAAUUACUCAUCACUCACUCAACUACGCAUUAUAAAUACCAUCCAAUUUCUUUCAAAUUGAUUAUUUCUCUUCUUCUUCUUCAUUUCUAUUAUAGUUUUCUUCUCUCUC